Molecule: long non-coding RNA, 1497 nt
Filed under: Monodelphis domestica (gray short-tailed opossum)
Lineage: Eukaryota; Metazoa; Chordata; Mammalia; Didelphimorphia; Didelphidae
Description: lncRNA (ENSMODG00000049016.1)
Source: RNAcentral
CUCAAAAUGGCUACUUUCCACAGUCACACAGGCUUUUGAAAUGUAUAUAGACCCAAUUUCUCUGAAACUUUUCUGACACCUCCACUGUCUUCUUUUCCCCCAAAUUUUGGCAAAAUAGGCUGGAAAUCCAAGUUGGCUCUACCAAAAAUGUAAUAUUUGUGGGAUUGAAGAAGUACAGGGGAUAAGGAAGGUUUUGUAACAUGGAAUGGGGGGAUUUGAAGGGAGAGAGGGAAUAUGGCUGCUGGUGAGGUUAAAGAAGAGAGAUACCCCCUGCUGAGAGGCUAUCUUUGAAAAUUGGUUCUUGAGAAAUGGGUCACCUAUGAUAGCCUGAGGAAAUUUCUUCUCUAUUGAUGGAUGUUGAAGAUACCGCAGAGCAGGGGAUACUAGGAGGGGAAGUGGAAGGUCCCACCUAUUUACUUCCAGUCUUGAGCUUGGUGGUUGUAAGCACUGCUGUUCUUCUACAAAGUGAUCCUAUAGAGAUGUCCUCAAUUCUCUCCAAAAUCAAAGAAUGGCAAAUAAUAUUAAUAAAAAUAAUAUCAACAAAAGUUCAAGGACAUCUCUGCUUUGACAUCUUCUGGAAAUACCAAGGAACUUAUUGGAAUAGUCAAGAACAUACUGGAACAAUCAGGAACAUGCAUACAAGAUUUUUACAUGUGCAUGUAAGAUUGAAAUUUUCAUUGUGCAUGGAAGUAAGCUAUGAAUUUUUCAUGAGUGCUUAUCAGAAUUCAUUAGUUAUUCUUCAUGUGUGAAAGUAAGCAUUAUAUGUGAUCAUCUUCAUGAGUUGGUGCAUGCAUAAUAAGUUCUUAGAUUUUGUUAAAAUAUGAAUCUGAAGUUUUCCUCUUAUCUUUUGAAUGUUUGAAUUUUUCACAAGGAGAUUCAUUGUUUGAUGUCUUUAGUUAUGCCAUGGAGAUAUUAUUUUGAUAUAAUGUAGUUCAUUUGGUCAUGGAGUUAUGUUUUCACUUGAAAUAACUUUGUUACUUUCUUUGUUGUUACUAUUGUUGGUAGAGACUUUGUAUAGAUUAUGUAGAGACUUUACUUUGGAGCUAAUCUUUAAAAAUGCAUAUUUUCCUUUGUGUUACUAGAUUUCUUAUGAAGCUGUUUUAUUUGCUUUUGCAGAACUUUUCUGUUAUCAUUAACUCCAUAAACAUAAAAGGUAAUCCAUAAACCCCACCUGUUUACCAAAAACAUCACCUCUAGCAUUUUAUUUAGAUUUAUAUCCAAAGACUAUGAGAUUUUAAAUAAUUAUAUGUGUUUGCCCAUGUGUGCACACUGCAAAUAUUUAUCUAGAUUAUUAACAAAAUUUACCUAACUCAAAAAGAAUGCCCAAAAUCAGAUAAUAGUCAACUUCUAAACAUGUGAUAUUUACAUUUUUAUGUCUGCAUUUUAGAAAUCAUAAAAUCUUCAGAAGGCAAUCAAAAAUAAUAGUGUAAGAGCAAAAUACCAUUUAAAAUCAGUAUAAGAAAAAUGGGGUUGUUUUCAAUCUAAUCUCAAUCUAGG